AACAUGAUUCUCUUUUCUGUGCUGUUGCUGAGCAAUCUCGAUUCUACUCUCUGAGGAAUCCGUUGCCAUUUAUCUUUAACAAUUUGCUGAAAUACUUUUUAUGUAUCCUAUUUCCGGUCAUAGUCCCAGACGAGACGAACAAAGUAGAUUCAAAGAUUAUGGAUUAUAUGAAAUUGAAAAUAAAUAACUUGAGAUGCUUUCGUUAUUCUAAAAGCAUAUAUAGGCUUACUUUAUGGAUUAGCCGCAAGUCUCAUCACCCCAUUAUACGCCGUAGGCAUAGCUAUUCCGCAGUUGAUAUUACCUUAUAGUCUUGCGUCAUCAGAAACUAAACUGAUGUUUCGUUGUUCAACUGUAACCAUCACAACAAGGAAGAAAACCAGACGUCGUUUCUUAUAUAUAUCAUGUGUCUGCUUAGCGAUCGUCGAGUCAACAACAAAAUGGCAGUUUCGUUAUACCGUAUUAUUUAUAGGCUCAUUGUUUGACCCAUACUGAAUAAUAUAGCUGCGGCUGGCUGGAAUGGUACUCCACAGUCCCGAAUGAAGCUAUGCACUGAUUUCCAUGCAUCGUUUUAGAACAAGUGAACUGCUCUUCGGCUGAGCAUGGAAAAACAAAAUGCGGAGGAGGCAUAUUUGAAUUCUAAAUGUAAUUCUCAUGAAAAAAGUUUCGUUGCCAACAUUUUGAGAGAGGUACGUACGUAGUAAUAAGAAGAUUUAUAAAGUUUCAUUAGCGUAUUUGGACCUACAAACUUUUCCUAGACAUUCAUUACAUUGCCAUAACUUCCGUUACAUCUUUCUUAGCAAUGUCAAGUUCUUACGACGUAAUUCGGGUAAAAAAGAGAGAUUAUGAAAGUUCAAUAAGCAAUUUAUUCAGCUAAUAAUUGCGUAGAUCUUUGUCCUUCAAAAAGUUCUCACGAUAAUCUACUGCAAGGGCCUGUCUUCUCUGUAAGUCUAUAUUAUUAUAUGAGCAAUAUCUUCAAGUUCAAGGAGGACAUACGACAAAGUUUAAAAAGUAUGAUUAGAUUUGAAAUUAUUUUCUGGACAGAAGUUAAUCCAAUAAUCCAUUCAUGAUUUCCGGAUCAUUUUUGUUCCACCUAAACGCCAGGCACCUUUUUAUCCGUUUUGCUUGAAUUCAUUAUUGGAUGUUAAACUUGAACUUGAAAAAACCACAUAGUAAUCUCACAUUUGCUGGAAAAGCACAGAUUAAAUUCUUGAUAACAUAAACCUGCAGCACGUGCCUAACUGCGUAGCUUACGCCAACGCAAUCCGCCAUUUACAGUAGCAAAGAGGGGUGGAAAGUAUUAAUCGCGUUAAUAGAAGAGACUCUAGGUAGCCUAAAUUUAAAUGAGGUUCAAAUAGAACGUUUCUAAUCUACUGAUGUAAAGUAAAAAGCUCGUGAUAGUCGUAAAUUGGCAACUGUCGAUCUAUUUUUAUAAAGAAGUAUGAUACUCAUUCAUAUCAUUUGAAUUGAUGCCAUAAAGCGACAGAUUACAAGUCACUGUUAUAAUGCCAACAAAAAGAACAUUUUCAGUUUCAGGCGGUGACUGUAGACAAAUUGUGGUGCUUUAAAAGAUAUCCACGUCGUUCUUUUUCCUUUCCUUUUAUGAAUAAGAAAUCCAAAUCUGAUUUGAAUAUCAAAAGUUCGCUUGGGUGUGAACCGCUUAAAAAAAUCGACUUUUAAAACACAAUCCCGAAAAGCAGAAGCAUGAAGAUGAUGAGAUUCAAUUAUUUCAAGUUUUUAGUAUACCCGAUUGAAUAUUGCAAGAAUUUCAGAUGAGAUACUACUUCUUUUAAUACUUAGACCUAACUGGCUUAAAAUAAAUAAAAUGAAAUACUUGAAUAAAUUAUGCAACCUUUCCUUUAUCUAUUUAGGAUCACUAAAGGUUCCCUAUUCUUUUUUGUCGGAGAAAUUUUUCAGAAACCCAAGACGGGUCUGAAAAUCAUGUCAUAAAAUAAAAUGUUAACUUUUUUCGCACUUUAAAUUUGGAUACCUCAAUAAAAUUGCGAAAUGAUAAAAUAAAUAGUUUACUGUCGGGCAUGGCCAAUGCCAGACUAUUUAUGGUAAUGUGCAGUGGUCUCUCUAUGCGGGGAGUUUAAAGUAGUCAUGAGUGAUUACCAUUCUUGGCAAGUUUCACGAUUUCCGACCAUGCCUCUAAAACGCAAGGCUGAAAAACUUUUCUAGCCGUUCAAUCCAUUGAUCACCUUAAUUGAUGGAUAUACUGAUAGUGAAUGGUGCACGGCGAGGUUACUCACGCUCACUUUUCUGUUCAUUCAUCCGAUCGUUCGUUCACACAGCUUUUUAAAUUCGCCUUGAAUGAUUUUUCAGUAACUUGUAUUUUACUUGGCAAUCCAUCUUUCACUGUUAUAAACAUUAAAAAAAAAAUUACACGGUUUAUCAAUUAGGUGAUUUGCCCGCGGCCGUAUGGCCUAACGGAACCAGAAUAGGACGCAGACUUGUCACGUUCACACCUAUUUAAUAUGUACGGCAGCUGCAGCUUGAAAGGAGGUGAUGCUGUGUGUGUGUUACUCUCUUGUCGGUUACCGACUUUGGCGACCCACUAUGCGAUUAGGAGCAGUCGGGAAAAUCCCUCUGUCUGCUUUCCAGGAAAUUCGUUCAACACCUCAUCAGGAGGUUGCUAAUUAUUUAGAUCCUGGAUCAAACAACCGUCAUCUUUGUAGUCCAUACAAUCAAAUUCCAGCAGUACCAUACAACUUAAUAUUUAGAAUAGUUUUUACCGUGUGGGUGGCCUUCGUAUAUGAUUCAUGAUCAAGUCCGAGAUGUGGCAAAUGCUGAUUAAGAACAAGAAAGAAAGUGCACUAAACACACUCCAUCCCGAUGCAAACCUGUAGUGGGUGGAUAAAAAAUCAUUGAUGUGAACUGUUGACCUAACAACGAAAUCCCUUGGAUACAACAACAGUGACCAUAUGACCGCUAUCUUGAAACCUAAUGCUCUUGUUGGAUAUGUCGGCAUCUCGGGGAGACCCGCAAUCAUCCGCCAAAACAAAAACUUCAAAGCCCCAUGAAGAUGGUAACUCGGUACUUCUGCUGCAGGUCAUAUCAGGCCUCUCACUUUCUAAUGUUUUUCUUUUGUUUGUUUUUCCGGACGGAGGGAGGGGGAGUUUCAAAUCCGUUCAGUCGCUAACCUUAUCACUUAUAUAGAUGGUCCAGUUCUUUAAGUCGUUGAGCCAAAGAAGACCUCUGAGGACAAACACUGCAGCACUGGAACCCACCAGCAAAUAUUUCUCCGCUGGAAAGAUUCAUCCCACGCUGAAGCCCAGAGGUUUGCGCGCGCUUACCAUCCAGCGGCCUUAUGGGACUGUCUACACCUUUUUGGAGGAGUCAACGAUGGGAGGGAGCUGUUGAACUAUAAAAGGGGAUCUCGUCGGAGUCAACGUGACAGACACCUUCUACCUGUGAUUGGUUGUACCACUCAAAUAGGGUGAACUAUUUCAAUUUCGUGUAAGUUAUUACAUUGAGCUUCGUCCCUUCCGUUUGACAUCAACCAACUUUCUCCGCACCGCAAUUGAUCAGGAUCACUACACUUCAAGCACUUCAACUUCAAAUCAACUCCGAUCCGUGGGCUUCAACAAACAAAAGUGCGUAUCACUUUUUUUCCUGUUUAUUCAGGAAUUUUGUAAUAACCUGUUCGAGAGAGAGAGAAGCAAUGCCCUUAUGGCGUAUACUUAACUUGAUUCGAAUUUUUACCGGAAUCUGCUUUUUGUUUUGCUGAUCUAAAAAUAAAUUUGUAGUAAAAAAAGAGAAAACUAGCUGAAUAAUCUCUCGAAGAGACAUUCUCUUAGCAAUAAACUUCCUAACAACAAAGUCCAGCAUAUCUUUUAUUGGUGCGUUGAAACAUGGCCCACACCUUUUGGCUCUGGCCUGUCUACCAGCAGGUGCAUGGGGGAGAAACUGAGAGACUUCAAUUUUCAACCAUUCAAAAGAAGGCAUUUAAAGAGAACAAUACAAUAAGAUGGGGUGACGGGGAACUAAAUUCAACCUCGUGGGUCAACAACAGUUUUCGUUGUAAUAGCUGUAAAAAAAGGGUCUUAUGCAAUCGCAUUCCGACAAGACAUUCCCAUAAUAAAAAAAAAUCCAAACUUGAAUCAAAGGCUACCGGCACUUACAUAUUAAACGCCAGGCAAGAAGGUUCGAGCUAUUUUUAUCCGAUUUAUGUCUAUCAGAGAAGUAAUAAAUCAUAGCAUGCUGGGGCGAUAAGGCGCAGUAGAAACUAGCAUGGUUUAUAAAUAGGGUCAGGGAACUCCAUAUCAGAUCGUCGUUUUAAGUCACUCACAGGCAAAAAGUCGUCUUUAAAGAAUAGAUAACACGACAGUCGGCACGCAGAGAAUUAAAGAGUUUCCAAUCAUUAAGGAAGGACGAGACAGUCGCAUUAAUGUCUUACGUGGAAGGGAUGGCUGAAAAAGGCGCCGAUGAUGCAACACACUAUUGUGUCUAUAAAAGGCACAGCUAGAAGAACUUGCCUUUCGAAUUUUGAAAUACCGGCACGUGCGCAACGAAAUGUUCAUGCAAGAAA
This 4528-nucleotide long non-coding RNA is filed under the name Daphnia pulicaria. RNAcentral describes it as "uncharacterized LOC124341537, transcript variant X6". The record is from RNAcentral. Lineage: Eukaryota; Metazoa; Arthropoda; Branchiopoda; Diplostraca; Daphniidae.